Molecule: ribosomal RNA, 492 nt
Filed under: Sphingomonas sp.
Lineage: Bacteria; Pseudomonadati; Pseudomonadota; Alphaproteobacteria; Sphingomonadales; Sphingomonadaceae
Description: bacterial SSU rRNA
Rfam family: Bacterial small subunit ribosomal RNA
Source: RNAcentral
GUGGCGCAGCUAACGCAUUAAGUUAUCCGCCUGGGGAGUACGGCCGCAAGGUUAAAACUCAAAGGAAUUGACGGGGGCCUGCACAAGCGAGCAUGUGGUUUAAUUCGAAGCAACGCGCAGAACCUUACCAGCGUUUGACAUGGUAGGACGACUUCCAGAGAUGGAUUUCUUCCCUUCGGGGACCUACACACAGGUGCUGCAUGGCUGUCGUCAGCUCGUGUCGUGAGAUGUUGGGUUAAGUCCCGCAACGAGCGCAACCCUCGACUUUAGUUACCAUCAUUAAGUUGGGUACUUUAAAGUAACCGCCGGUGAUAAGCCGGAGGAAGGUGGGGAUGACGUCAAGUCCUCAUGGCCCUUACGCGCUGGGCUACACACGUGCUACAAUGGCAAGUACAGUGGCGCAAUCCCGCGAGGGUGAGCUAAUCUCCAAAACUUGUCUCAGUUCGGAUUGUUCUCUGCAACUCGAGAGCAUGAAGGCGGAAUCGCAGAAUG